AGCAGCCGCGGUAAUUCCAGCUCCAAUAGCGUAUAUUAAAGUUGUUGCAGUUAAAAAGCUCGUAGUUGAAUUUCGGGAUUGACACGUCGGUCGUGCCCUAAGGGGUAUGAACUGGCGUAGUCAAUUUCUCACCUUCUGGAGAACCGCGCUGUCCUUAAUUGGGUGACGCGGGGAACCAGGACCUUUACUUUGAAAAAUUAGAGUGUUUAAAGCAGGCAUUUUGCUUGAAUACAUUAGCAUGGAACAAUAAAAUAGGACGGCAUGAUUCUAUUUUGUUGGUUUCUAGGAUCACCGUAAUGAUUAAUAGGGAUAGUUGGGGGCAUUAGUAUUCAAUUGUCAGAGGUGAAAUUCUUGGAUUUAUUGAAGACUAACUACUGCGAAAGCAUUUGCCAAGGAUGUUUUCAUUAAUCAAGAACGAAAGUUAGGGGAUCGAAGAC
Molecule: ribosomal RNA, 437 nt
Filed under: uncultured Glomeromycotina
Lineage: Eukaryota; Fungi; Glomeromycota
Description: SSU rRNA
Rfam family: Eukaryotic small subunit ribosomal RNA
Source: RNAcentral